Molecule: unclassified non-coding RNA, 268 nt
Filed under: Hevea brasiliensis (rubber tree)
Lineage: Eukaryota; Viridiplantae; Streptophyta; Magnoliopsida; Malpighiales; Euphorbiaceae
Source: RNAcentral
AUUGAGUGCAAAUCGUUGAAUAGGUAAUUUCUGUAUUUUUCUAUAUGUCAGUAUUUGGGUGCUUGAAUUUGCCUGCAGGACCUGGAUGGUAGGUUGUUACUUGCUCUGAAUGUUUAUUAUUGCUACUGAAUUUAUGGGCUGGAAAUGGAAUAGAAAUGAUAAUCUUUGAUGAUUAUGUGUUACAAUUACAAUUGCAUAUAAUGGAACAUUCUCAGGUCACUUCAAUUAGUCUGUGAUUAAUAUAUUUCAGCUUUUUUUUUUUUUGGAA